This 820-nucleotide ribosomal RNA is filed under the name uncultured Tellurimicrobium sp. Its description in RNAcentral is "bacterial SSU rRNA". It matches the Rfam family "Bacterial small subunit ribosomal RNA", at positions 28 to 858 of the family's 1533-position model. Lineage: Bacteria; Pseudomonadati; Acidobacteriota; Blastocatellia; Blastocatellales; Blastocatellaceae. The record is from RNAcentral.
AAUCAACGCUGGCGGCGUGCCUCAGACAUGCAAGUCGAACGAUUAAGACUCCCUUCGGGGAGUGUAUAAAGUGGCGUACGGGUGAGUAACACGUAAGUAAUCUACCUUCGAGUGGGGAAUAACAUCGGGAAACCGAUGCUAAUACCGCAUAAUGCAGCGGCAUCGAAAGAUGACAGUUGUUAAAGGAGCAAUUCGCUUGAAGAGGAGCUUGCGGCAGAUUAGCUAGUUGGUAAGGUAAUGGCUUACCAAGGCUACGAUCUGUAUCCGGUCUAAGAGGACGGUCGGACACACUGACACUGAAUAACGGGUCAGACUCCUACGGGAGGCAGCAGUCGGGAAUUUUGGGCAAUGGGCGAAAGCCUGACCCAGCAACGCCGCGUGAAGGAUGAAGUUUUUCGGAAUGUAAACUUCGAAAGAAUGGGAAGAAUAAAUGACGGUACCAUUUAUAAGGUCCGGCUAACUACGUGCCAGCAGCCGCGGUAAUACGUAGGGACCAAGCGUUGUUCGGAUUUACUGGGCGUAAAGGGCGCGUAGGCGGCAAUUCAAGUCAGCUGUGAAAUCUCCGGGCUUAACUCGGAACGGUCAGCUGAUACUGCUUUGCUAGAGUGCGGAAGGGGCAAUCGGAAUUCUCGGUGUAGCGGUGAAAUGCGUAGAUAUCGAGAGGAACACCUGAGGUGAAGACGGGUUGCUGGGCCGACACUGACGCUGAGGCGCGAAAGCCAGGGUAGCAAACGGGAUUAGAUACCCCGGUAGUCCUGGCCCUAAACGAUGAAUACUUGGUGUCUGGAGUCAUUAUUGCUCCGGGUGCCGUCGCUAACGU